CGAAUUGCGAUAUGUAAUGUGAAUUGCAGAAUUCAGUGAAUCAUCGAAUCUUUGAACGCACAUUGCA
RNAcentral lists this ribosomal RNA (67 nucleotides) under uncultured Clavariaceae. RNAcentral's name for it is "partial 5.8S ribosomal RNA". It matches the Rfam family "5.8S ribosomal RNA", at positions 49 to 115 of the family's 154-position model. From Rfam's summary of the family: 5.8S ribosomal RNA (5.8S rRNA) is a component of the large subunit of the eukaryotic ribosome. It is transcribed by RNA polymerase I as part of the 45S precursor that also contains 18S and 28S rRNA. Functionally, it is thought that 5.8S rRNA may be involved in ribosome translocation. The record is from RNAcentral. Lineage: Eukaryota; Fungi; Basidiomycota; Agaricomycetes; Agaricales; Clavariaceae.